CAUCCUCCCUAACCAUCACCAAACUCUCUCCUCCCUCGCUGACUCCGAACGUCCUGCUCUCUCCCUACUCUCCUCCCCUUCUGCCUACUCCGCCCUCUCUUCUUCCCUCUCCGGUUCCCACUCCGAUCCCCUCUGUCACUGGCUCUACGACACUUUCCUCUCCUCCGACCCUCACCUCCGCCUCGUUGUUCUCUCCUUCAUCCCUCUCCUCUCCGGUCUUUACCUAUCCCGUGUUCACUCCUCGGAUCCCCCUUCCCUCGCCGGUUUCGAAGCUGUUCUCCUCGCUCUCUAUGCCUCCGAAACCAAAUCGCGCGCUGGUAAACCUCUUCUUGUUACAAUCCCCGAUCUCUCUCUUCCUUCCAUCUACCAUUCUCCUCUCCGUAAAAACCCAAUAUAAGAUAAUCGUUGAAAGGUUAAUAUAUUAAUUAAAAUAUUAGUUUAGAUAUAUAUUAAUUUUUCAAUUAUUAUUUAUAUUUAUAUUUUAUAUCAAAUAUAGUAUUAUUUUUAUUAAAAAAUAGAAUAUGUCAUAAUUUUUUUUCCUUGUACUGCUAAAUUACUACCGUCGUUGUUUUAUAGUGAUUGUUUUAAGAUAUUUACAAAUACCUUAAAAAUUGUUAAACUUUGACAAAAUUAUUAUUUUUUUGCUAUGUAAGUUUCUUGUGAUAUAUUCACCUUUUUAUUUAUGUAAAAAAAAUCUAUAUAAAGUAAUAAUUAAUAAUAUCUUUUUUCUAUUUUUAAAACAACAAUUAAAAAUAAUUUUAAAAAUAUUUAAUUUAGAAUAAAUAUUUUAAAAUAAAUUUUUAAUAAAAUAUGUCAAUUUAUAAUUUUUGUUAUUUAUAUUUCAUUUUUGUAAGUAACAAAUCCGUACACAAAAAAUCAGAUAAAAAUAUUGAAAAGAAAAAUAUAAAUUUUGAUGGACAUUAAACUUUUCUUUUUACAAAUGUAUCGAAUGAAAUAAGAGCAUAAAAUCAUAGUCUUAAGAUAAUUCCUAAACGUGUAAAAAAUCUGAAGUGAUUUGGUUGUCAUAUACAAAUUAAAUAAAGAAAGAAGAUGAUAAAAAGAAAAAGAAAUUAAGAAUAGGAAGGAUGAGACGUUAAGGCUAGGUAAUUAAUGUUCCUUAUUACGGCUUGCUUAGUAAUUAGUAGUGGGAGUAGACUAGUAGUAGUUAAUAAAAACGGCGAUGUUGGGUUUGGUGGUGCUUGCAAGACUGCAGUUGCAAUUUUGAGUUGAGUUGAAUUGAAUUGAAUUGAAUUUGCAGUUGUAUCCAUCGGAGAGGAGAGUACGAUGGAAUUGCAGCACCGUAACUCAUCAUCUCCACAAUGUUCCUCAAAUUCAAACUCCACCUCCUCAUCUUCCAUCACCACCAACCCUAACAACAGAAUCAACAACAACAACAACAACGAUCCUAUGCACUCUUGGUGGGAAUCGGUCUCCAAAGCACGUUCCCGCAUCCAUUCCCUCGCUUCCAUCCUCCCUAACCAUCACCAAACUCUCUCCUCCCUCGCUGACUCCGAACGUCCUGCUCUCUCCCUACUCUCCUCCCCUUCUGCCUACUCCGCCCUCUCUUCUUCCCUCUCCGGUUCCCACUCCGAUCCCCUCUGUCACUGGCUCUACGACACUUUCCUCUCCUCCGACCCUCACCUCCGCCUCGUUGUUCUCUCCUUCAUCCCUCUCCUCUCCGGUCUUUACCUAUCCCGUGUUCACUCCUCGGAUCCCCCUUCCCUCGCCGGUUUCGAAGCUGUUCUCCUCGCUCUCUAUGCCUCCGAAACCAAAUCGCGCGCUGGUAAACCUCUUCUUGUUACAAUCCCCGAUCUCUCUCUUCCUUCCAUCUACCAUUCUCCUCUCCGUAAAAACCCUAACAAUAACCCUAACCCCUCCGUCGGUGUUAUUUCCCCCCCUCUUGAACCUCACAUCGCUGUUAAAUCCACAAAACGUG
Molecule: long non-coding RNA, 1936 nt
Filed under: Cicer arietinum (chickpea)
Lineage: Eukaryota; Viridiplantae; Streptophyta; Magnoliopsida; Fabales; Fabaceae
Description: long non-coding RNA (CARI_LNC001830)
Source: RNAcentral